Molecule: ribosomal RNA, 492 nt
Filed under: uncultured eukaryote
Lineage: Eukaryota
Description: bacterial SSU rRNA
Rfam family: Eukaryotic small subunit ribosomal RNA
Source: RNAcentral
AAGGAAUUGACAGAACAAAGUUCUUUCAUGAUUUGGUAAAUGGUGGUGCAUGGCCGUUCUUAGUUCGUGGAGUGAUUUGUCAGGUUUAUUCCGAUAACGAACGAGACCUUAAUCUAUUAAUUAUGCUGUUGGUAGGGUGGGCAACCAUUCUAUUAGUUUCUUCGGAAACCAACAUUUCAUCAAUAGCAAUAUUGAUGAGCUUCUUAGCGAGACAAUACAUCGUUUUUAAAAAUUAGUGUAGGGAGGUUUAAGGCAAUAACAGGUCUGUAAUGCCCUUAGAUGUUCUGGGCAGCACGCGUAUUACAAUAUUAAUACCAACGAGCUUAUCGUGGUAAAAUAUGCCUGCUCCAUUUAAAACAGGAGUGGGAAAACUUUUCAACUAUUAAUGUGACAGGGAUAGCUGUUGUAAAUUACAUCUUGAACGAGGAAUUCCUAGUAGACGCGAAUCAUCAAUUCGCAUCGAUUUAGUCCUGCUCUUUGUACACACCGCCG